AUUGAACGCUGGCGGCAGGCCUAACACAUGCAAGUCGAACGGUAACAGGAAGAAGCUUGCUUCUUUGCUGACGAGUGGCGGACGGGUGAGUAAUGUCUGGGAAACUGCCUGAUGGAGGGGGAUAACUACUGGAAACGGUAGCUAAUACCGCAUAACGUCGCAAGACCAAAGAGGGGGACCUUCGGGCCUCUUGCCAUCGGAUGUGCCCAGAUGCGAUUAGCUAGUAGGUGGGGUAACGGCUCACCUAGGCGACGAUCCCUAGCUGGUCUGAGAGGAUGACCAGCCACACUGGAACUGAGACACGGUCCAGACUCCUACGGGAGGCAGCAGUGGGGAAUAUUGCACAAUGGGCGCAAGCCUGAUGCAGCCAUGCCGCGUGUAUGAAGAAGGCCUUCGGGUUGUAAAGUACUUUCAGCGGGGAGGAAGGGAGUAAAGUUAAUACCUUUGCUCAUUGACGUUACCCGCAGAAGAAGCACCGGCUAACUCCGUG
RNAcentral lists this ribosomal RNA (490 nucleotides) under uncultured bacterium. RNAcentral's name for it is "partial 16S ribosomal RNA". It matches the Rfam family "Bacterial small subunit ribosomal RNA", at positions 30 to 507 of the family's 1533-position model. The record is from RNAcentral.